GUGCUCGUUUCGGCAGCACAUAUACUAAAAUUGGAAUGAUACAGAGAAGAUUAGCACGGCCCCUGUGCAAGGAUGACACGCAAAUUUGUGAAGUGUUCCGUAUUUUU
Molecule: small nuclear RNA, 107 nt
Organism: Equus caballus (horse)
Lineage: Eukaryota; Metazoa; Chordata; Mammalia; Perissodactyla; Equidae
Source: Ensembl